GACAGAGGUCCCGAGCGUUAGGCGGAAUCACUGGGCUUAAAGCGUGUGUAGGCGGAUCGUUAAGUGCCUUGUGAAAUCCCACGGCUCAACCGUGGAACUGCUUGGUAUACUGGUUGUCUUGGGCCAUCUAGGGGCUACUGGAACAAACGGUGGAGCGGUGAAAUGCGUAGAUAUCGUUUGGAACGCCAAUGGUGAAAACAAGUAGCUGGGGAUGUGCCGACGCUGAGACACGAAAGCCAGGGGAGCGAACGGG
This 253-nucleotide ribosomal RNA is filed under the name uncultured bacterium. Its description in RNAcentral is "partial 16S ribosomal RNA". It matches the Rfam family "Bacterial small subunit ribosomal RNA", at positions 524 to 776 of the family's 1533-position model. The record is from RNAcentral.